RNAcentral lists this small nucleolar RNA (133 nucleotides) under Carlito syrichta (Philippine tarsier). The record is from RNAcentral. Lineage: Eukaryota; Metazoa; Chordata; Mammalia; Primates; Tarsiidae.
UAUGGUCCUUAUCGAAGUUAUAGUUGCUUCCACAUAGCUGUUGUGAUCAAAAAGGAGCCCAGAGUGACAGUCAAUUGAUGGUCACUGUUUUGUUUGCUACACUUGACCUGCAAUGUUUUGGGAAAAUACAGUU